CACGUAGGGGACGGGCGUUGUCCGGAUUCAUUGGGCGUAAAGCGCGCGUAAGCGGCUCGGAAAGUCGGUCGUGAAAUGCCGGGGCUCAACCCCGGGACUGCGUCCGAUACUCUCGAGCUGGAGGCAGGUAGGGGAGAUCGGAAUUCCUGGUGUAGCGGUGAAAUGCGCAGAUAUCAGGAGGAACACCGGUGGCGAAGGCGGGUCUCUGGGCCGAUACUGACGCUGAGGAGCGAAAGCGUGGGGAGCGAACAGG
Molecule: ribosomal RNA, 253 nt
Filed under: uncultured bacterium
Lineage: Bacteria
Description: partial 16S ribosomal RNA
Rfam family: Bacterial small subunit ribosomal RNA
Source: RNAcentral